RNAcentral lists this ribosomal RNA (433 nucleotides) under uncultured bacterium. Its description in RNAcentral is "partial 16S ribosomal RNA". It matches the Rfam family "Bacterial small subunit ribosomal RNA", at positions 29 to 507 of the family's 1533-position model. The record is from RNAcentral.
AACGAACGCUGGCGGCAUGCCUAACACAUGCCAGUCGAACGAGACCUUCGGGUCUAGUGGCGCACGGGUGCGUAACGCGUGGGAACCUGCCCUUAGGUUCGGAAUAACUCCCCGAAAGGGGUGCUAAUACCGGAUAAUGUCUUCGGACCAAAGAUUUAUCGCCUUUGGACGGGCCCGCGUUGGAUUAGCUAGUUGGUAGGGUAAAAGCCUACCAAGGCGACGAUCCAUAGCUGGUCUGAGAGGAUGAUCAGCCACACUGGGACUGAGACACGGCCCAGACUCCUACGGGAGGCAGCAGUGGGGAAUAUUGGACAAUGGGCGAAAGCCUGAUCCAGCAAUGCCGCGUGAGUGAUGAAGGCCUUAGGGUUGUAAAGCUCUUUUACCCGGGAUGAUAAUGACAGUACCGGGAGAAUAAGCUCCGGCUAACUCCGUG